CCAUUUGUGUACAAAGAAGGAAGACAGAGAGAUGGAAAGACAUCAAAGAAUGGGCAGGUCUGCCAAGAAAUGGUUUAUCCAAGGCUAAGUACAGAGAGGAAUAUAGAAGGGCUGUUGACAGAUCUUGUGUGGUGCCCCCAUGGUUCAACAGACUAAUUGAUUGAAAAUAAUACCAGGGCUAUGCUCCUUUGACCAUUGAGUUCCAGGAUGAAGAAUGAAAGACAGAGAGCAAUGUGAAGACAUCAAAGAAUGGGCAGAUCUGCCAUGAAAUGGUUUAUCCAGGGCUAAGUACAGAGAGGAAUAUAGAAGGGCUGUUGACAGAUCUUGUGUGGUGCCCCCAUGGUUCAACAGACUGAUUGAUAGGUAAUGGAAUUAGUCAUUCAAAAGACGGUGAGGAAAAGAAUGGUCGACAAACCUUGUGUGGUGCCUUAACAGUCCAUCAGACUAAGGGAUAGAUAAAGGUGAAUUUAAUUUAUAUUUUGAUCUAUAUAAGUUGAUUUACUGGACUAAAAAUCUAGAUAUUGGUAAAACUUUGCUAUUCUAUUCUAAAUCUAGUGUGACAUUCCAUAUUUUUUAUUCUGAUUUUAGAUAGAUCUUGAUUAGAUCUAGAUCCCAUAUGUAUAGGACUUAGCACUAGAUCUCUAGAAAUUAUUGUAUAUGAUGCUAGAUCUAGAAAAUCUAGACUUGAUCAUAGAAAUCU
This is a long non-coding RNA of Biomphalaria glabrata, 700 nucleotides long. RefSeq lists it as uncharacterized. The record is from RefSeq and is a predicted model, not a curated record. The transcript has 3 exons. Lineage: Eukaryota; Metazoa; Mollusca; Gastropoda; Planorbidae.